This 1190-nucleotide ribosomal RNA is filed under the name Natrinema altunense. RNAcentral's name for it is "bacterial SSU rRNA". It matches the Rfam family "Archaeal small subunit ribosomal RNA", at positions 1 to 1188 of the family's 1478-position model. The record is from RNAcentral. Lineage: Archaea; Methanobacteriati; Methanobacteriota; Halobacteria; Halobacteriales; Natrialbaceae.
AUUCCGGUUGAUCCUGCCGGAGGUCAUUGCUAUUGGAGUCCGAUUUAGCCAUGCUAGUUGCACGAGUUUAGACUCGUAGCAGAUAGCUCAGUAACACGUGGCCAAACUACCCUAUGGAUCCGAAUAACCUCGGGAAACUGAGGCUAAUAUGGAAUAGCGUUCAUCGCCUGGAGUGGCACGAACGCGAAACGUUACGGCGCCAUAGGAUGUGGCUGCGGCCGAUUAGGUAGACGGUGGGGUAACGGCCCACCGUGCCCAUAAUCGGUACGGGUUGUGAGAGCAAGAGCCCGGAGACGGUAUCUGAGACAAGAUACCGGGCCCUACGGGGCGCAGCAGGCGCGAAACCUUUACACUGCACGCGAGUGCGAUAAGGGGACUCCGAGUGCGAGGGCAUAUAGUCCUCGCUUUUCACGACCGUAAGGUGGUCGUAGAAUAAGUGACUGGGCAAGACCGGUGCCAGCCGCCGCGGUAAUACCGGCAGCACGAGUGAUGACCGCUAUUAUUGGGCCUAAAGCGUCCGUAGCUGGCCACGCAAGUCUAUCGGGAAAUCCGCGCGCUUAACGCGCGCGCGUCCGGUGGAAACUGCGUGGCUUGGGACCGGAAGACCAGAGGGGUACGUCCGGGGUAGGAGUGAAAUUCCGUAAUUCUGGACGGACCACCGGUGGCGAAAGCGCCUCUUGAAGACGGAUCCGACGGUGAGGGACGAAAGUUCGGGUCACGAACCGGAUUAGAUACCCGGGUAGUCCGAGCUGUAAACGAUGUCUGCUAGGUGUGGCACAGGCUACAAGCCUGUGCUGUGCCGUAGGGAAGCCGUGAAGCAGACCCCCUGGAAAGUACGUCCGCAAGGAUAAAACUUAAAGAAAUUGGCGGGGGAGCACUACAACCGGAGGAGCCUGCGGUUUAAUUGGACUCAACGCCGGACAUCUCACCAGCAUCGACAAUGUGCAGUGAACGUCAGGUUGAUGACCUUACUGGAGCCAUUGAGAGGAGGUGCAUGGCCGCCGUCAGCUCGUACCGUGAGGCGUCCUGUUAAGUCAGGCAACGAGCGAGACCCGCACUCCUAAUUGCCAGCAACACCCUUGCGGUGGUUGGGUACAUUAGGAGGACUGCCAGUGCCAAACUGGAGGAAGGAACGGGCAACGGUAGGUCAGUAUGCCCCGAAUGUGCUGGGCGACACGCGGGCUACAAUG